CUUUAAUAUUCUCUUUGUUGGGUCAAACAGUUACAAUUCCUUUAACCUUUCUUUUGUUGUUCUUGUCUGGAACACUCAUAGGACGUCAUGGUUUUUAAGGAAACUGAUGUUUGCAAAACUAUUACACUGUACUACCAAAGGGUUCAGGGUAAGACAAAUAAGGCAAAUAGCUUCUCACUAUUAAGCAUUUGGGUUUUAUUUAUUUAAGGGUGCUGUAUUGAGGGUCAAAUAGAACUAUCUUAAAACAGCACAUUAUUAUUCAUAACGGUUGGCUAAUAGGUCAGGUUACCUGAGGAAGAAGCCUUCGUUGUAAAAACAAAAAUUCACACUCUCUCAAAUCACGUAUCGCUGAAAAUAGGAAUGAAUUCAUAAGAAACACUUAUUUAUAUUCCUAUACAGAAACAAAGAAUUAAAAGCUACAAAUUGUUAACUCCAAUAAAGUGGAAAAUCAACAAACUGAAGAAAUGUUCUUUUCCUUCCUCCUGUUUUAAAGUUUUAAAGUUUUCUCUUUAUCACUCCAGAUAUUCCCCUCUUCAGACUCCAUGGCUUAGCACUAAAGCACAGUCGGAAAAACAUGGUCAAAUUUGGUUCACAGCACCUGCCCAGGACCUACUUUCUUCCUUACCUAUGCUACCCAGAGGCGAAACAGCAAAUCAGCACCAGACAGCCACCUAGCUUCAAGUUUCCAGUGCAAUGAAAGCUUCAAGCAUGUGGAGAGCAAAACAACAGGACAUCUCACCCAAAGAGAUCAACCUCUGCAGAAGGCAAAGGUUUCCAAAAUAGGCAACCUUCUACCUGGAUCAAUUUCCACAGUAGGCGAUGGAGCCAAUGAAGUCAUGGAGAAGUUAGUUUCCACCCAGUUAUUCCUCUCCUGGCUCCAUCUUUGCUUCAAAAUUUCUUAUUGAAAAUGAGUCCUAGCUGAGCAUAGAGAAAGCACGUCAAAGCAGAUUCUGUCUGUAUUAAGACCUAUACACACUGCUAGUAAGAUUCCACUAUUUAGUGGGACGCAUACCUCUGUCACUUAAAGAUGUGUGACUUGAGCAAAUCACUAAAUCUCCAUUUUGCCAUCUGUAAAAUGGGUAAAAUAUUACUUGUCUACACACCUUGCAGGAUUUGGGAGAGAAACAAAAAAAAAAAUGAAGUUUGUAAAAGUAAUCUGGAAUGAUAAAAAUCAAACAAAAAUAAAAUAAAAUCAUUUUUCUCU
RNAcentral lists this long non-coding RNA (1204 nucleotides) under Aotus nancymaae (Ma's night monkey). Its description in RNAcentral is "lncRNA (ENSANAG00000039268.1)". Lineage: Eukaryota; Metazoa; Chordata; Mammalia; Primates; Aotidae. The record is from RNAcentral.